This is a long non-coding RNA of Triplophysa rosa, 268 nucleotides long. RefSeq lists it as uncharacterized. The transcript has 3 exons. Lineage: Eukaryota; Metazoa; Chordata; Actinopteri; Cypriniformes; Nemacheilidae. The record is from RefSeq and is a predicted model, not a curated record.
CAUUCCAAUGCCGUGAUUGGCUGCUGAUGUCAGAGGGCUCACUCCAGUGGCGUAACUUUGUUUUGAAAAGUGGUGGGGACAAAGACGACACAAACAAUACUGUAAUAAAUUGUUUCUGCAAGAACUCAUCAGGAAUAUUCAUGGACGUCACAAGCGCGAAACAUGUGGCGGACAAAGCAAAAUUUGGAUUACAGCUUUCUGAUGAUGUAUGCCCAGACCAAAGGGACAUAUUAUGUACAGCUAGAGGAUGACAUUGUCGCACGCCCAA